CCGCGAUCCGGGACACGGCGGCGAGAUCCUCGAACGACUCCUCCUUCUUCUUCUCCCCCGCUGCCUCGGCCGCCGGCCGCUCGCACUUGGCCACCGCCGCCGCCGCCGCCGGAGCAGCCGCCACGGGCCGGAACUCCCGGAGGCUGUGUCCGCUCAUGUACCAGUCAGCCGCCAUUACGCUGGUGCUCUCGCCGCCGAGCAGCUCCGACAGCAGCAGCACGAUCGACGCCAUCGACCAAAGCUCAAAAAACCUCACACAACAACGAGAUCGAUCCGAGUGGGGG
This 284-nucleotide unclassified non-coding RNA is filed under the name Hevea brasiliensis (rubber tree). Lineage: Eukaryota; Viridiplantae; Streptophyta; Magnoliopsida; Malpighiales; Euphorbiaceae. The record is from RNAcentral.